RNAcentral lists this ribosomal RNA (496 nucleotides) under uncultured bacterium. Its description in RNAcentral is "bacterial SSU rRNA". It matches the Rfam family "Bacterial small subunit ribosomal RNA", at positions 903 to 1397 of the family's 1533-position model. The record is from RNAcentral.
AAAGGAAUAGACGGGGGCCCGCACAAGCGGUGGAGUAUGUGGUUUAAUUCGAUGCAACGCGAAGAACCUUACCAGGGCUUGACAUCCCGCGAACCCGCCUGAAAGGGGGGGGUGCCCUUCGGGGAGCGCGGAGACAGGUGGUGCAUGGCUGUCGUCAGCUCGUGUCGUGAGAUGUUGGAUUAAGUUCCGCAACGAGCGCAACCCUCGUUUCAUGUUGCCAGCGGUUCGGCCGGGCACUCAUGCGAGACUGCCGUAGUAAUGCGGAGGAAGGUGGGGAUGACGUCAAGUCAGCAUGCCCCGGACGCCCUGGGCUACACACAUACUACAAUGCACGCGGCAAACGGAUGCUAACCCGCGAGGGGGCGCCAAUCCGAGAAGCGCGUGCUCAGUGCGGAUCGCAGGCUGCAACUCGCCUGCGUGAAGUCGGAAUCGCUAGUAACCGUCGGUCAGCAUUACGACGGUGAAUACGUUCCCGGGCCUUGUACACACCGCCCGU